GACGAGGUUGAUAGGUUCGAGGUGGAAGUGCGGUAACGUAUGCAGCUGACGAAUACUAAUCGGUCGAGGGCUUAACCUAAUAU
Molecule: ribosomal RNA, 83 nt
Filed under: Paenibacillus silvestris
Lineage: Bacteria; Bacillati; Bacillota; Bacilli; Caryophanales; Paenibacillaceae
Description: Paenibacillus sp. 5J-6 partial 23S ribosomal RNA
Rfam family: Bacterial large subunit ribosomal RNA
Source: RNAcentral